Molecule: ribosomal RNA, 444 nt
Filed under: uncultured Caulobacter sp.
Lineage: Bacteria; Pseudomonadati; Pseudomonadota; Alphaproteobacteria; Caulobacterales; Caulobacteraceae
Description: bacterial SSU rRNA
Rfam family: Bacterial small subunit ribosomal RNA
Source: RNAcentral
GCCCUACGGGCGGCUGCAGUGGGGAAUCUUGCGCAAUGGGCGAAAGCCUGACGCAGCCAUGCCGCGUGAAUGAUGAAGGUCUUAGGAUUGUAAAAUUCUUUCACCGGGGACGAUAAUGACGGUACCCGGAGAAGAAGCCCCGGCUAACUUCGUGCCAGCAGCCGCGGUAAUACGAAGGGGGCUAGCGUUGCUCGGAAUUACUGGGCGUAAAGGGAGCGUAGGCGGACUGUUUAGUCAGAGGUGAAAGCCCAGGGCUCAACCUUGGAAUUGCCUUUGAUACUGGCAGUCUUGAGUACGGAAGAGGUAUGUGGAACUCCGAGUGUAGAGGUGAAAUUCGUAGAUAUUGGGAAGAACACCAGUGGCGAAGGCGACAACCUGGUCCAUUACUGACGCUGAGGCGCGACAGCGUGGGGAGCAAACAGGAUUAGAUACCCUGGUAGUCAU